This 253-nucleotide ribosomal RNA is filed under the name uncultured bacterium. RNAcentral describes it as "partial 16S ribosomal RNA". It matches the Rfam family "Bacterial small subunit ribosomal RNA", at positions 526 to 779 of the family's 1533-position model. The record is from RNAcentral.
CGUAGGUUGCAAGCGUUGUCCGGAUUUACUGGGUGUAAAGGGCGUGUAGGCGGAGGUGCAAGUUGGGAGUGAAAUCCAUGGGCUCAACCCAUGAACUGCUUUCAAAACUGCAUCCCUUGAGUGUCGGAGAGGCAAGCGGAAUUCCUAGUGUAGCGGUGAAAUGCGUAGAUAUUAGGAGGAACACCAGUGGCGAAGGCGGCUUGCUGGACGAUAACUGACGCUGAGGCGCGAAAGCGUGGGAGCAAACAGGAUU